CCUACGGGAGGCUGCAGUCGAGAAUCUUCCACAAUGGGCGAAAGCCUGAUGGAGCGACGCCGCGUGCAGGAUGAAGGUCUUCGGAUUGUAAACUGCUUUUACAUGGGACGAAGCUCUGACGGUACCAUGUGAAUAAGAGGUUGCUAACUCUGUGCCAGCAGCAGCGGUAAUACAGAGACCUCAAGCGUUAUCCGGAUUCAUUGGGCGUAAAGCGUCCGCAGGUGGUCCUUCAAGUCUCGCGUCAAAUCUCUGGGCCCAACCCAGGGGCUGCGCGGGAUACUGUCGGGCUAGAGGAUGGGAGAGGUAAGCGGAAUUGCCGGUGUAGUAGUAAAAUGCGUUAAUAUCGGCAAGAACACCAAAGGCGUAGGCAGCUUACUGGAACAUUCCUGACACUCAGGGACGAAAGCGUGGGGAGCGAAACGGAUUAGAUACCCUUGUAGUC
This 442-nucleotide ribosomal RNA is filed under the name Salmonella enterica subsp. enterica serovar Anatum. Its description in RNAcentral is "bacterial SSU rRNA". It matches the Rfam family "Bacterial small subunit ribosomal RNA", at positions 338 to 795 of the family's 1533-position model. Lineage: Bacteria; Pseudomonadati; Pseudomonadota; Gammaproteobacteria; Enterobacterales; Enterobacteriaceae. The record is from RNAcentral.